UACGGAGGGUGCAAGCGUUGUUCGGAAUCACUGGGCGUAAAGCGCGUGUAGGCGGCCUCCUAAGUCUGGUGUGAAAGCCCGGGGCUUACCCCCGGAAGUGCACUGGAUACUGGGAGACUAGAGUACCGGAGAGGAGGGUGGAAUUCCUGGUGUAGCGGUGAAAUGCGUAGAUAUCAGGAGGAACACCGAUGGCGAAGGCAGGUCUCUGGGCUGACACUGAUGCUCAUGCACGAAAGCGUGGGGAGCAAACAGG
RNAcentral lists this ribosomal RNA (253 nucleotides) under uncultured bacterium. RNAcentral's name for it is "partial 16S ribosomal RNA". It matches the Rfam family "Bacterial small subunit ribosomal RNA", at positions 524 to 776 of the family's 1533-position model. The record is from RNAcentral.